RNAcentral lists this ribosomal RNA (353 nucleotides) under uncultured bacterium. RNAcentral describes it as "bacterial SSU rRNA". It matches the Rfam family "Bacterial small subunit ribosomal RNA", at positions 8 to 350 of the family's 1533-position model. The record is from RNAcentral.
AGAGUUUGAUCAUGGCUCAGGAUGAACGCUAGCUACAGGCUUAACACAUGCAAGUCGAGGGGAAACGACAUCGAAAGCUUGCUUUUGAUGGGCGUCGACCGGCGCACGGGUGAGUAACGCGUAUCCAACCUGCCCACCACUUGGGGAUAACCUUGCGAAAGUAAGACUAAUACCCAAUGACGUCUCUAGAAGACAUCUGAAAGAGAUUAAAGAUUUAUCGGUGAUGGAUGGGGAUGCGUCUGAUUAGCUUGUUGGCGGGGUAACGGCCCACCAAGGCGACGAUCAGUAGGGGUCCUGAGAGGAAGGUCCCCCACAUUGGAACUGAGACACGGUCCAAACUCAUACGGGAGGCA